Clonorchis sinensis is the source of this 75-nucleotide non-coding RNA. The record is from Rfam. Lineage: Eukaryota; Metazoa; Platyhelminthes; Trematoda; Opisthorchiida; Opisthorchiidae.
UCCCACGUGGUCUAGCGGUUAGGAUUCCUGGCUCUCACCCAGGCGGCGGCCCGCGUUCGACUCCCGGCGCGGGAG